Cervus elaphus (red deer) is the source of this 176-nucleotide long non-coding RNA. RefSeq lists it as uncharacterized. Lineage: Eukaryota; Metazoa; Chordata; Mammalia; Artiodactyla; Cervidae. The transcript has 3 exons. The record is from RefSeq and is a predicted model, not a curated record.
CUGGGUAUAAAAGUGGACUAAGAACCCGUGUUCAGCAUCGGUUCUCCCUUGAGCUGGCCUGCUGUUCUGACAGCAUCUCCCAUUCUAGUAAACUUUAUUUCCCUCCCGUUCUGUCUCAUGUCUGGAAAUUCUUUUCCAACCCGCUCACGGACCACGACAGACAUAAAAGAAAAAGG